CCCUCCCUCACGCCCGCUCCCUCCCGGCGCUGUCGGCAGGCAGCAGGCGAGGUGCCGGGAAGGCGCUGCGCCCAGGACGCCCGGACGCCGCGGCGGGAGAGGCGCAGGCGGCGCUGCGGCCCGGAGCCCCCGCCCGGCCGGCGCGAGGGGCGGUGGGUCCCGAGCGGCGCUCGCGGGGCAACUGGCAGUGGAUGAGACCUCUAUGGCAACAUUUUAAUGAAGAUACUACUAAGGGAGCUGGAGCAGUGGAGGGAGGCAUAAACAGGCAGUCAUUUGCAACUUGACCAAUAACAAUAUAGUAUUUAAGGAAUGUUAUCCAUUCCAAUUAUUUUGUCACAAGAAUAAAGGUCCAUCUUAAAAAAGAGAGUAGAAGAGGGGAAGACAGACAGAAAUAGCAGUGUGAGAAAAGCACAUGGAUUCUUUUCUUCCUGCUAGUGCCUGACCAGGGAGGGCCUGGGCCUGGGCUUGCAACUGAGAGGAGGGAAGAAGGGAAAGUGAUUUCUGACCCGAGGAGUGUGACUUUGGUGUGAAAGAUGAUUUAUGGAGUGAAAGGAGAAGAGCAUAGAGAAUGGAGCCAUAGAGAACAUCAACAAUUAGGAGACAGUAGAAGGAGAAUAACCAGGAAGAGAGCAGAGGAGGAGAGGCUAGGAGAAUCAUGGAGAGAAACCAGGUGAGUUUUGUAACAUUUCUACGUUUAAAUCUACAAGGAGCUCUGCUACACCUUUCCCCUUCGUUGCCAAAUAAUUAUCAGGUGGUUGUGCAGUGACUGCUCAAUCUCCAAAUAUGGUCAGAAUCCUUUUUGCCUUCAUUUUCAUGGGCUGUUCCGGAACCCGUGCUUUUGUGUUUUGUAUUUUUAAAGG
Pipistrellus kuhlii (Kuhl's pipistrelle) is the source of this 860-nucleotide long non-coding RNA. RefSeq lists it as uncharacterized. The record is from RefSeq and is a predicted model, not a curated record. The transcript has 6 exons. Lineage: Eukaryota; Metazoa; Chordata; Mammalia; Chiroptera; Vespertilionidae.